Molecule: long non-coding RNA, 843 nt
Organism: Chinchilla lanigera (long-tailed chinchilla)
Lineage: Eukaryota; Metazoa; Chordata; Mammalia; Rodentia; Chinchillidae
Exons: 3
Source: RefSeq, a predicted model, not a curated record
AAGAAAAAUUGUUUCUAACUCAUAAGCAUUUUUCCAGCUGCAAGACCUUGGCCAUGUUUUCUUUUCAUGCUCAGUUUUCUCUUGUGUAAAAUGAUGUAAUCAUUGCAGUUAUCUAUGGGGCUACAGUGGGUCUUAGAGAAGAGAAUGUGAGUCAAACUGAUGCCACAGUGCCCAGCCCGUAAGCAGCACACGGUAAGUGUUUAAAUAAAGCUUUUCUUUAUUUUCUUCUUAUUACUAUGAGUAAAUCAAGUUUGUGCUGCUCAAAAUCUGUUAUCUUUGACAGGGUAGCUGAAGGGUUACGGAGGGGGUGAUUGCUACUCUAGGCUUGCCCAACCCCUCUUGUCACCCAAACCCCAUUUUCUUACUCUGUUAAUUUUUAGUAGGCCAAGAGCGACUUCCACCCUCUACUCCUCUGCCUCCAUCACCUGGGGCGAGAUCUCAGGGGACUGGGCUACCACCUGCCUUCUUGCCUGACCCCAGAAUCUCCCUUCUUGGCCCUCACAGCAAUGAUCUGCCUGCUCUGGACCUGUGACAUAGGACACCAUAGAUCUCAUCUUCCUAGUGGAUCAUAUCAGGAAGCACAUGAGGUUGAUUUGUCUCACUACAAGUGAAAUUAAUUUGGAUUAGCAUCAGUUAGUGGGAUGUAACAGCCAGAUUCCUGGAGAUGCAGCUCUUGGACAAAAGAAUGUGUCUCUCUGGACAACCAGAUUGGAUCCAGCCAGAUCAGAAAGAAGCCAGCUUUCCUGGAGUUUAUUAGAAUUUACCCUGCUUUUCCUUGCUUUAGGCCAUGACAUUCUUCUUCCAAGUGGUGCAGGCUGUUUUGUGAUGGAACCAAGGGCAAAA